UUUACUAGUGAAAAUUUUCAAAAUGAAAAAUAAAUACUACUGAUACGCACAAAAAAGUGUAAAUCUUACGUCUCCUCUUUCUCGGGUUUAAAAACUCUUAGAUAUCCAAUAUUAAAAAAAUAGAACUAAAUUUUAGAAAACCCCUUUAUAAAUAUUCAUUUUUUCACUUUUUCUUCUUAAUUUUCAAAAAAACUAUAUUUUACUCUUUCAACAUUUCAAAUUAUUGCAUUUAGCUUCCUUCCGUUUGUCCAUUUCUUAUAAUUUAUAAAAAAAAUAUUUUUCAAAAUAAUAUAAAUAUAUUAAAAAUAUAUUUUUCUAUAGAAAAAGAAAGGACAAUUUGGUCAUUUUACCCUUCACUUUACUCCCUCAACAUUCCAAAUUAUCGCAUUUAGUUU
This 395-nucleotide long non-coding RNA is filed under the name Ananas comosus (pineapple). Its description in RNAcentral is "long non-coding RNA (ACOM_LNC029522)". The record is from RNAcentral. Lineage: Eukaryota; Viridiplantae; Streptophyta; Magnoliopsida; Poales; Bromeliaceae.